AAAUUGAAGAGUUUGAUCAUGGCUCAGAUUGAACGCUGGCGGCAGGCCUAACACAUGCAAGUCGAACGGUAACAGGAAGCAGCUUGCUGCUUCGCUGACGAGUGGCGGACGGGUGAGUAAUGUCUGGGAAACUGCCUGAUGGAGGGGGAUAACUACUGGAAACGGUAGCUAAUACCGCAUAAUGUCGCAAGACCAAAGAGGGGGA
This 205-nucleotide ribosomal RNA is filed under the name Escherichia coli. Its description in RNAcentral is "partial 16S ribosomal RNA". It matches the Rfam family "Bacterial small subunit ribosomal RNA", at positions 1 to 213 of the family's 1533-position model. The record is from RNAcentral. Lineage: Bacteria; Pseudomonadati; Pseudomonadota; Gammaproteobacteria; Enterobacterales; Enterobacteriaceae. RNAcentral also lists the same sequence under 1 other name.